AAGGAAUAUUGCUCAAUGGGAGAAAUCCUGAAGCAGCAACGCCGCGUGGAGGAUGAAGGGUCUAUGACUUGUAAACUCCUGUAAAGAAGGAAAAAAUUCCCAUUUGAUGGGAGAUGAUGGUACUUCUGGAGUAAGCCCCGGCUAACUACGUGCCAGCAGCCGCGGUAAUACGUAGGGGGCAAGCGUUGUCCGGAUUUACUGGGUGUAAAGGGUGCUCAGGCGGAUUUGUAAGUCAGAGGUGAAAUCUUACAGCUUAACUGUGAAACUGCCUUUGAUACUGCAAGCCUAGAGUAUGGAAGAGGGUGAUGGAAUAUCUGGUGUAGCAGUGAAAUGCGUAGAUAUCAGGUAGAACACCAAUGGCGAAGGCAGUCACUUGGUCCAUUACUGACGCUAAAGCACGAAAGCGUGGGUAGCAAACA
This 419-nucleotide ribosomal RNA is filed under the name uncultured bacterium. RNAcentral describes it as "bacterial SSU rRNA". It matches the Rfam family "Bacterial small subunit ribosomal RNA", at positions 356 to 774 of the family's 1533-position model. The record is from RNAcentral.